Long non-coding RNA from Oncorhynchus tshawytscha (Chinook salmon), 1147 nucleotides. The record is from Ensembl. NCBI's taxonomy places the organism in Eukaryota, Metazoa, Chordata, Actinopteri, Salmoniformes, Salmonidae.
UCCAUCCCGAGCUCUGUCCCUCUCUCCUCCCUCCCUCUGUCCCUCUCUCCUCCCUCCCUAGUUCCUUCCCUCUCUGUCCCUAGCUCUGUCACCCCCUCCUCGCUCCAUCCCUCUAUAGCUCUGUCCCUCCCUCCUCGCUCCAUCCCUCUGUCCCUAGCUCUGUCCCUCUCUCCCUAGCUCUGUCCCUCUCUCCCUAGCUCUGUCCCUAGCUCUGUUCCUCUCUCCUUAGCUCUGUCCCUAGCUCUGUCCCUCUCUCCCUAGCUCUGUCACCACCCCCCCUCCUCGCUCCAUCCCUCUGUCUCUAGCUCUGUCCCUCUCUUCUCUGACACUGGAUUCAUUGUGCUGCUGAGAGGUAUUGAUCAACAAUAAGCCAAUGGCAGGUGGGCUAGGCUGGGCUGAACAGAGACCCACUGCACUGGCACAAUACUGUGUGUAUGUGUCUUGGUUAAAUGGACCGCAAAGCAAUGAAGAGGAGAUUUAUUGGCCACACACUCGCCCAAGCGCACACACACAGCACGACUUUAAAGUAAAGGAAAUCAUUAAAAAAAUUGCUGAUGUAUUUUUCAUAAAUGACACAAGAUGAUCACCUGUAAUAAACAAGUACAAAGGUUAUUUAAGAGUGUAGACUACUAGUUAUCAGAAUAGUCAUGGCAAUAUGGCUUCUAUUGUACGAGCACAAGCAGAAGGUCAAUAACAACACAUUCUAACAGCUAACAGGACGUCCAACAACAAGCCAUGAGAGCAGGUUAUGUCUGUCUGGUCCCUCCCACUGUAUUAGUGGGGUUGGACAGUAUUGUUGUGUUCCAGGGUUUGGGGAGUGAGGGCUGUCCCUCUGACUGCUUUCAGGAAUGUUAAGUCAUGUGAAAUAGAGGAUGUUUUUUUAUGGGAACCUGGAGUGUGACUGUACCUUGAUGAGUUUGAGUUGGAUUUUGACUCUGGGUGUGUAGAGACACAGCUAUGAUGGAAUGUCUCCAGCCUCCUCUUGUCUGGGGAUCUUUAUUCCAUCUUCAUUCAAAUUAUGAAAAUGUACUAUUAAGUUCAGGGGCCACUUUUGGCCCCCAUGGGAGUGCAAGGCUAGAGUGACUGCCUCCUUUCUCUUUCAUGCUGUGGUUCGAAAGAGGGAGGACAUUUUGUUUUUUAGGGCAAG